RNAcentral lists this ribosomal RNA (353 nucleotides) under uncultured bacterium. RNAcentral's name for it is "bacterial SSU rRNA". It matches the Rfam family "Bacterial small subunit ribosomal RNA", at positions 917 to 1271 of the family's 1533-position model. The record is from RNAcentral.
GGGCCCGCACAAGCGGUGGAGCAUGUGGUUUAAUUCGAUGAUACGCGAGGAACCUUACCAGGGCUUAAAUGUAGUAUGACCGGCUUGGAAACAGGCCUUCUCUUCGGAGCAGAUUACAAGGUGCUGCAUGGUUGUCGUCAGCUCGUGCCGUGAGGUGUUAGGUUAAGUCCUGCAACGAGCGCAACCCCUAUUCUUAGUUGCCAGCGGUUCGGCCGGGGACUCUAAGAAGACUGCCAGCGCAAGCUGAGAGGAAGGUGGGGAUGACGUCAAAUCAUCACGGCCCUUACGUCCUGGGCUACACACGUGCUACAAUGGUAGAGACAGAGGGCAGCCACUAUGCGAAUAGGAGCUAA